CCCUCACAGACACAGCUGCCACCAAAGAGCCUCUCUUGACUGCAGUCAAACUGGGCUACAGACUGAGCUUUAGAAUAAUCAAUGAAAACCUCACCAACCCUGAUUCCCAGUCUCCAGAAUACAGAGCAGCAGUAGAAAGCAUCACCAACAAGAUGAAUCACCUGUACCGUCAGAGCGACCUGCGGGACCAGUUCCUGACCUGCAGGAUCACCAGGCUGAGGCCUGGAUCCAUAGUGGUUGACUGCCAGUGCUUCUUCCAGCCCAACCCCAGCAUCAACAGGGCUGUGGUUGAAAGGACUUUCCAGGACAGGACCUCCAACACCACCGGGCUGUGGCUGGGGAGCAGCUACCGACUUCAGGAAUUCUCAGUGGACAGUACGUGGAUCAAAUCCCUUCCCAGUGUCCAUAUGGAUAACUCACUUCGCCAUGGCACACUCAGAAUCUCCCAAAUUUGCUCUGU
This is a non-coding RNA of Cyanistes caeruleus (blue tit), 460 nucleotides long. The record is from RefSeq and is a predicted model, not a curated record. NCBI's taxonomy places the organism in Eukaryota, Metazoa, Chordata, Aves, Passeriformes, Paridae.